UAUUUGUCUCCAGCCGUUCUCUCCUUUCCUGCUUGGUUUUCCUGGAACGCAGAUGUUCAACGUAUCACAUAAAUUUAUAGCAGAACUCUACUCCAAUAAGCAGUCCAGUCCUGAAUGAAGCAAAUGCUAACCUUCAAGACAAAAUUGAAAUCCACAUGCUGGACCUUUGGACCUCUGGCACGUGUACUUCGGAUAUGGAAGACACAUCAUACAGUCCAGGUGUACAACAGCUCUGUGUCAUUGGCAGAAUGGACAGUUAAUGAUCAAAGCAGUGAUGAAGCUGUAUGGAUAGGUGAUAAAUUCAGCUCUUGUAAGUAAAUUGGACUUGCAAACAGG
Lepidothrix coronata (blue-crowned manakin) is the source of this 336-nucleotide long non-coding RNA. RefSeq lists it as uncharacterized. The transcript has 3 exons. Lineage: Eukaryota; Metazoa; Chordata; Aves; Passeriformes; Pipridae. The record is from RefSeq and is a predicted model, not a curated record.